UCUAACUCUUACUUACAAAAGUAACAAAAUAUUAAAAACUAGAUAAAAAAUAGAAAGCUUGCUUCUGACUGGUCAAGGCACAAAGGGAAGGAUUGACUUUGAUUAGCCAUCCACCGUUGAUAUGAAAAAUCGUAUGGUCACAAAAUAAUCAAAUAAUCAAUUCUUUUUUUUUCUUCCUCUUAAUUAAUCAUUUCAAUACAAAUAAUAUAAUAAAGUGAAAUGUUGAGAUUGGUUAAUAUUUGAUGACAAAGAUAGCUAAUUUUAACCAUUGAUUAUUUUGAUCCAAUGGAUCUAAUUCACUCCCCUCCUUGUCCUAUCAUUUUCUUUUGGUCUUCCUCUCACCUCCAGACUCUCACGUUUCUCUCUUCUCAUCUCUUCUGAGAUUUCAUUUCAUCUUUCUACUCUUCUUCUUUCUUCACCAUAGCAAUCCUCAUUCUACAAACACAAACCAUCAUCACAGUCACCUCGUCUACCACUACUUCUACCUCACCCACCAUAACCUCCGCCCGACGCCACCAUCACAUCCGCCGCCUCCUCCUCCUUGUUCCCCACCUUCGCGGACCACAAUCGCAUCCUCCUCCUCCUCCUCGUUACUCAACCACAAGCGACCAUCUUCUCCACUACCACCAAUGCUUCUGCCUCAAUCAAAAGCAAUUCUUCCUCUACCCCCAUUACUCUCUUAUAUCUUCUAAUCUCAAAGAUUUUUGUUUCACAUUUUUUUUUUCAGAUCUAGAUUCGUGAAUGGAGAUGUGAGACUGGAGAUGACGAACAGAGGUCUCAAACAAACGUAAAGAAGUAUUCACAAGAUUGAGGAAGGAUGAGAAGACAAACGAAGGUUGAGGGAGGCUAAUUAGGCAGACGAAGCUUGAGUAAGGUGGAGAGUCAAAAGAUGGUUGACGGGAAGUGGGAGGAGGCACGGAAGCUGCAGUGGAGGAGACACUGACGCCGGAAGCAGAGAUGACAAUGUCUCCGGUCAAGGUUGGAAGAGGCGCAAGGCUCAUGAAGGAGGCGGCUCGACUUUUUUUUUAGGUUUAGAUUUCUUUUAGAUUUGGUUUAGUGUAAACCGAGUAAGGAAAAUUGUGUGCUUUGAUUUUAUUUUUUAAUUUCUGGUUUAGUAUUGUAAACCGGAAUGUAUUUGUAAACCAAUUUUAAUUUAUAAAUAAAAUUUAUUUUAUUUUAAAUUAUAAAACAAUUUUCAUUUAAUUUUUAAAUUUUUUUAAUUUUUAAUUAUAAUUUUUUUAUUUAUUUAUUGUAUAAUGACCUAUCAAAGUAGUGCUAUAGUUAAUUUAAAUAAUAUCAUUCAAACAUUGUUAUCGUAUCUGCACAUUUCGUAGCGUUCAAAAAAUGCUAUCGUAGAGGGCGUACCUACGAUGGCUGCCGAUGACAUAGCAUUUUAUGAAUUCGCUAUGAAACCCCUACUAUAGCAUAUUUUCCGCGCUAAGAAUGUACAUAUUUCUUGUAGUGAUAUUAUAAAGUAAACGACGUGGCAUUUUUGUGUGGCAUCGUAACAAUCACAUAACAUACGAAUCGCGUUGUGCAGCUGUAUUAGGGUAUGAAUCGAGGGAGUGGAUAACAGUUGUAAGUGUGCCAGAAACAAUUCUAACCUAACGACGAACUGAAAAUGACGACAAGUAUAUUCUAUACCGAUUGUAUGAGUUUCCAUACUAUGUACCGUAUGUGGAAUAGUAAUAUUAUAAAUGUAGUUCCAAGUGAAAUAUGAUCUUCAUAAUUUCGCUACAGUUAAAAAGGUACAUGAUGCAAGGAAAGUACGUAAUGCUUUACCCAAAAGCAAGCCAAAUAUUCCAUAAAUAAAUUGGCUAAUUAGGCAGACGAAGCUUGAGUAAGGUGGAGAGUCAAAAGAUGGUUGACGGGAAGUGGGAGGAGGCACGGAAGCUGCAGUGGAGGAGACACUGACGCCGGAAGCAGAGACGACAACGUCUCCGGUCAAGGUUGGAAGAGGCGCAAGGCUCAUGAAGGAGGCGGCUCGACUUUUUUUUUAGGUUUAGAUUUCUUUUAGAUUUGGUUUAGUGUAAACAGAGUAAGGAAAAUUGUGUGCUUUGAUUUUAUUUUUUAAUUUCUGGUUUAGUAUUGUAAACCGGAAUGUAUUUGUAAACCAAUUUUAAUUUAUAAAUAAAAUUUAUUUUAU
Molecule: long non-coding RNA, 2146 nt
Filed under: Brassica napus (rape)
Lineage: Eukaryota; Viridiplantae; Streptophyta; Magnoliopsida; Brassicales; Brassicaceae
Description: long non-coding RNA (BNAP_LNC011921)
Source: RNAcentral